This 233-nucleotide ribosomal RNA is filed under the name uncultured bacterium. Its description in RNAcentral is "partial 16S ribosomal RNA". It matches the Rfam family "Bacterial small subunit ribosomal RNA", at positions 794 to 1026 of the family's 1533-position model. The record is from RNAcentral.
UCCACGCCCUAAACGAUGCACACUAGUUGUUGGGAUGCUAGUCAUCUCAGUAAUGCAGUUAACACAUUAAGUGUGCCGCCUGGGGAGUACGGUCGCAAGAUUAAAACUCAAAGGAAUAGACGGGGACCCGCACAAGCGGUGGAGCAUGUGGUUUAAUUCGAAAAUACACGAAGAACCUUACCUAGCCUUGAUAUCCUUGGAAUCCUAUAGAGAUAUGGGAUGCAGUUUACUAG